UGACCCCUUUUUACUUCCCUUACCAAGACUUAACGGGGUUAUAAUUAGUCUUCUUAUCCACCAGUGAAGGGAUUGGUGGAAAUACUGUAUCGU
This 93-nucleotide non-coding RNA is filed under the name unclassified sequences. RNAcentral describes it as "PhotoRC-II RNA". It matches the Rfam family "PhotoRC-II RNA". The record is from RNAcentral.